UACGGCGGGUGCAAGCGUUAUCCGGAUUCACUGGGUUUAAAGGGUGCGUAGGCGGGCAGGUAAGUCCGUGGUGAAAUCUCUGAGCUUAACUCAGAAACUGCCAUGGAUACUAUUUGUCUUGAAUAUUGUGGAGGUAAGCGGAAUAUGUCAUGUAGCGGUGAAAUGCUUAGAUAUGACAUAGAACACCAAUGGCGAAGGCAGCUUACUACACAGUUAUUGACGCUGAGGCACGAAAGCGUGGGGAUCAAACAGG
Molecule: ribosomal RNA, 253 nt
Filed under: uncultured bacterium
Lineage: Bacteria
Description: partial 16S ribosomal RNA
Rfam family: Bacterial small subunit ribosomal RNA
Source: RNAcentral